UUAACUAGAGGGGAAGCAUUAGAGGCAACAAAUAAAAUCAUAUGUCCAGAAUAAGCAGGGAGCAAGGUGGGAUCAGAAAGGUAUGAACCAAGAACAUGUAUGAAAAUUGGUGGCCCUACCACAUAUAUCUCAUCCGACUACUUUGGAGAAUCCUUUAGCAACGGUUGGUGAAGCUGAUAUAAUGAUAUCGGUCGUGAAGAACAUGC
RNAcentral lists this long non-coding RNA (206 nucleotides) under Lathyrus oleraceus (garden pea). Its description in RNAcentral is "Pisum sativum (pea) long non-coding RNA (PSAT_LNC018151)". Lineage: Eukaryota; Viridiplantae; Streptophyta; Magnoliopsida; Fabales; Fabaceae. The record is from RNAcentral.